This 1368-nucleotide ribosomal RNA is filed under the name uncultured bacterium. Its description in RNAcentral is "bacterial SSU rRNA". It matches the Rfam family "Bacterial small subunit ribosomal RNA". The record is from RNAcentral.
GAGUUUGAUCCUGGCUCAGGACGAACGCUGGCGGCGCGCCUAACACAUGCAAGUCGAACGAGCGAGAGAGAGCUUGCUUUCUCAAGCGAGUGGCGAACGGGUGAGUAACGCGUGAGGAACCUGCCUCAAAGAGGGGGACAACAGUUGGAAACGACUGCUAAUACCGCAUAAGCCCACAGCUCGGCAUCGAGCAGAGGGAAAAGGAGCAAUCCGCUUUGAGAUGGCCUCGCGUCCGAUUAGCUAGUUGGUGAGGUAAUGGCCCACCAAGGCGACGAUCGGUAGCCGGACUGAGAGGUUGAACGGCCACAUUGGGACUGAGACACGGCCCAGACUCCUACGGGAGGCAGCAGUGGGGAAUAUUGCACAAUGGGGGAAACCCUGAUGCAGCGACGCCGCGUGGAGGAAGAAGGUCUUCGGAUUGUAAACUCCUGUUGUUGAGGAAGAUAAUGACGGUACUCAACAAGGAAGUGACGGCUAACUACGUGCCAGCAGCCGCGGUAAAACGUAGGUCACAAGCGUUGUCCGGAAUUACUGGGUGUAAAGGGAGCGCAGGCGGGAAGACAAGUUGGAAGUGAAAUCUAUGGGCUCAACCCAUAAACUGCUUUCAAAACUGUUUUUCUUGAGUAGUGCAGAGGUAGGCGGAAUUCCCGGUGUAGCGGUGGAAUGCGUAGAUAUCGGGAGGAACACCAGUGGCGAAGGCGGCCUACUGGGCACCAACUGACGCUGAGGCUCGAAAGUGUGGGUAGCAAACAGGAUUAGAUACCCUGGUAGUCCACACCGUAAACGAUGAUUACUAGGUGUUGGAGGAUUGACCCCUUCAGUGCCGCAGUUAACACAAUAAGUAAUCCACCUGGGGAGUACGACCGCAAGGUUGAAACUCAAAGGAAUUGACGGGGGCCCGCACAAGCAGUGGAGUAUGUGGUUUAAUUCGACGCAACGCGAAGAACCUUACCAAGUCUUGACAUCCUGCGACGCACAUAGAAAUAUGUGUUUCCUUCGGGACGCAGAGACAGGUGGUGCAUGGUUGUCGUCAGCUCGUGUCGUGAGAUGCUGGGUUAAGUCCCGCAACGAGCGCAACCCUUACUGUCAGUUACUACGCAAGAGGACUCUGGCAGGACUGCCGUUGACAAAACGGAGGAAGGUGGGGAUGACGUCAAAUCAUCAUGCCCUUUAUGACUUGGGCUACACACGUACUACAAUGGCGUUAAACAAAGAGAAGCAAGACCGCGAGGUGGAGCAAAACUCAGAAACAACGUCCCAGUUCGGACUGCAGGCUGCAACUCGCCUGCACGAAGUCGGAAUUGCUAGUAAUCGUGGGUCAGCAUGCCACGGUGAAUACGUUCCCGGGCCUUGUACACACCGCCCGUC